CACGUAGGCGGAUUGGUAAGUCAGAUGUGAAAUCCCGGAGCUCAACUCCGGAACUGCAUUUGAUACUGCCAGUCUUGAGUGAGGUAGAGGGGGGUGGAAUUCCCGGUGUAGAGGUGAAAUUCGUAGAUAUCGGGAGGAACACCAGAGGCGAAGGCGACCCCCCUGGGCCUCUACUGACGCUGAGGUGCGAAAGCGUGGGGAGCAAACA
Molecule: ribosomal RNA, 208 nt
Filed under: uncultured bacterium
Lineage: Bacteria
Description: partial 16S ribosomal RNA
Rfam family: Bacterial small subunit ribosomal RNA
Source: RNAcentral